UGUGGGAGCGAGCCUGCUCGCGAUAGCGUCGGCACAUUCGGCAUCGAUGCGCGCUGACCCACCGCCAUCGCGAGCAGGCUCGCUCCCACA
RNAcentral lists this unclassified non-coding RNA (90 nucleotides) under Pseudomonas sp. A214. Lineage: Bacteria; Pseudomonadati; Pseudomonadota; Gammaproteobacteria; Pseudomonadales; Pseudomonadaceae. The record is from RNAcentral.